This 804-nucleotide ribosomal RNA is filed under the name uncultured marine bacterium. Its description in RNAcentral is "bacterial SSU rRNA". It matches the Rfam family "Bacterial small subunit ribosomal RNA", at positions 36 to 887 of the family's 1533-position model. The record is from RNAcentral.
CUGGCGGCAGGCCUAACACAUGCAAGUCGAGCGCACUCUUCGGAGUGAGCGGCGGACGGGUUAGUAACGCGUGGGAACAUACCCUUUUCUACGGAAUAGCCUCGGGAAACUGAGAGUAAUACCGUAUACGCCCUUUUGGGGAAAGAUUUAUCGGUGAAGGAUUGGCCCGCGUUUGAUUAGAUAGUUGGUGGGGUAAUGGCCUACCAAGUCUACGAUCAAUAGCUGGUUUGAGAGGAUGAUCAGCAACACUGGGACUGAGACACGGCCCAGACUCCUACGGGAGGCAGCAGUGGGGAAUCUUAGACAAUGGGCGCAAGCCUGAUCUAGCCAUGCCGCGUGAGUGACGAAGGCCUUAGGGUCGUAAAGCACUUUCGCCAGAGAUGAUAAUGACAGUAUCUGGUAAAGAAACCCCGGCUAACUCCGUGCCAGCAGCCGCGGUAAUACGGAGGGGGUUAGCGUUGUUCGGAAUUACUGGGCGUAAAGCGCACGUAGGCGGAUUAGUAAGUUAGAGGUGAAAUCCCAGGGCUCAACCCUGGAACUGCCUUUAAUACUGCUAGUCUUGAGUUCGAGAGAGGUAAGUGGAAUUCCGAGUGUAGAGGUGAAAUUCGUAGAUAUUCGGAGGAACACCAGUGGCGAAGGCGGCUUACUGGCUCGAUACUGACGCUGAGGUGCGAAAGUGUGGGGAGCAAACAGGAUUAGAUACCCUGGUAGUCCACACCGUAAACGAUGAAUGCCAGACGUCAGCAAGUAUACUUGUUGGUGUCACACCUAACGGAUUAAGCAUUCCGCCUGGGGAGUACGGUC